RNAcentral lists this transfer RNA (72 nucleotides) under Sus scrofa (pig). It matches the Rfam family "tRNA". From Rfam's summary of the family: Transfer RNA (tRNA) molecules are approximately 80 nucleotides in length. Their secondary structure includes four short double-helical elements and three loops (D, anti-codon, and T loops). The record is from Rfam by way of RNAcentral. Lineage: Eukaryota; Metazoa; Chordata; Mammalia; Artiodactyla; Suidae.
UCCCUGGUGGUCUAGUGAUUAGGACUCAGUGCUUUCACCACUGCGGCUCGGGUUCAAUCCCUGGUCUGAAAA